AGUGAACGCUGGCGGUAGGCCUAACACAUGCAAGUCGAACGGCAGCACAGAGGAGCUUGCUCCUUGGGUGGCGAGUGGCGGACGGGUGAGGAAUACAUCGGAAUCUACUCUGUCGUGGGGGAUAACGUAGGGAAACUUACGCUAAUACCGCAUACGACCUACGGGUGAAAGCAGGGGAUCUUCGGACCUUGCGCGAUUGUAUGAGCCGAUGUCGGAUUAGCUAGUUGGCGGGGUAAAGGCCCACCAAGGCGACGAUCCGUAGCUGGUCUGAGAGGAUGAUCAGCCACACUGGAACUGAGACACGGUCCAGACUCCUACGGGAGGCAGCAGUGGGGAAUAUUGGACAAUGGGCGCAAGCCUGAUCCAGCCAUACCGCGUGGGUGAAGAAGGCCUUCGGGUUGUAAAGCCCUUUUGUUGGGAAAGAAAUCCAUCUGGUUAAUACCCGGGUGGGAUGACGGUACCCAAAGAAAAAGCACCGGCUAACUUCGUGCCAGCAGCCGCCGUAA
This 506-nucleotide ribosomal RNA is filed under the name uncultured bacterium. RNAcentral describes it as "partial 16S ribosomal RNA". It matches the Rfam family "Bacterial small subunit ribosomal RNA", at positions 29 to 523 of the family's 1533-position model. The record is from RNAcentral.